CGGCAGGUGGAGGAGCGGCGCCUCGGCGUGCGCGAAGGGCUCGACCUGGUGCUGACCGAACAGGGGCGCGAGGUCGCCGACCGCCUCGCCGA
Molecule: transfer RNA, 92 nt
Filed under: Streptomyces sp. Y2F8-2
Lineage: Bacteria; Bacillati; Actinomycetota; Actinomycetes; Kitasatosporales; Streptomycetaceae
Description: tRNA-Phe
Source: RNAcentral